GGGGAUCGCAAGACCUUGCGCUGAUGGAGCGGCCGAUGUCAGAUUAGCUAGUUGGUGGGGUAAAGGCUCACCAAGGCGACGAUCUGUAGCGGGUCUUAGAGGAUGAUCCGCCACACUGGAACUGAGACACGGUCCAGACUCCUACGGGAGGCAGCAGUGGGGAAUUUUGGACAAUGGGCGCAAGCCUGAUCCAGCCAUGCCGCGUGAGUGAAGAAGGCCUUCGGGUUGUAAAGCUCUUUCGGCCGGGAAAAAAUCGCUUGGGUUAAUACCCUUAGUGGAUGAUGGUACCGGAAUAAGAAGCACCGGCUAACUACGUGCCAGCAGCCGCGGUAAUACGUAGGGUGCGAGCGUUAAUCGGAAUUACUGGGCGUAAAGCGUGCGCAGGCGGUCUUGUAAGACAGGCG
This 404-nucleotide ribosomal RNA is filed under the name uncultured beta proteobacterium. RNAcentral describes it as "bacterial SSU rRNA". It matches the Rfam family "Bacterial small subunit ribosomal RNA", at positions 199 to 594 of the family's 1533-position model. The record is from RNAcentral. Lineage: Bacteria; Pseudomonadati; Pseudomonadota; Betaproteobacteria.